AAGUAUCAAUAAGAAUACUCCUCUCUCUACUUCUCUUUAUAUUGUUCUUGUUCUUAUAUUAUUUCAUAACACGUUAUCAGCACGAGUCUUUAACCAAUCGAAUUACUGAGAAGUUCCCGUUCUCCAGUUGCCGCCUCUCCGACAUCCACCGGCGGCGGCAAGUUUUCCGGUUCGCCACCUUCAUCAUCACCUAGAAUUUCUAUACGGAAAAUAGAAGAGAUGGUAUCAUCAUAAAGUAAUGCAACGGGAUGGAAACUCAAGAGGUAUAUUUGAAAUCACAACAUUUAUUGGUAUAUCUUAAAGGUAAGUAAUUUACUUUUCCCUUACAAAUUCUUGAAAUUUUACGAUUUGAUUUCAUAUACAAACAUAG
Molecule: long non-coding RNA, 370 nt
Filed under: Nicotiana benthamiana
Lineage: Eukaryota; Viridiplantae; Streptophyta; Magnoliopsida; Solanales; Solanaceae
Description: long non-coding RNA (NBEN_LNC030436)
Source: RNAcentral